UGGGGAAUAUUGCACAAUGGGGGAAACCCUGAUGCAGCGACGCCGCGUGAACGAAGAAGGUAUUCGUAUCGUAAAGUUCUGUCCUAUGGGAAGAUAAUGACAGUACCAUAGAAGAAAGCUCCGGCUAAAUACGUGCCAGCAGCCGCGGUAAUACGUAUGGAGCGAGCGUUGUCCGGAAUUAUUGGGCGUAAAGGGUACGCAGGCGGUUUAAUAAGUCGAAUGUUAAAGAUCGGGGCUCAACCCCGUAAAGCAUUGGAAACUGAUAAACUUGAGUAGUGGAGAGGAAAGUGGAAUUCCUAGUGUAGUGGUGAAAUACGUAGAUAUUAGGAGGAAUACCAGUAGCGAAGGCGACUUUCUUGACACAAACUGACGCUGAGGUACGAAAGCGUGGGGAGCAAACAGG
RNAcentral lists this ribosomal RNA (403 nucleotides) under Actinomycetes bacterium. Its description in RNAcentral is "Actinobacteria bacterium partial 16S ribosomal RNA". It matches the Rfam family "Bacterial small subunit ribosomal RNA", at positions 355 to 776 of the family's 1533-position model. Lineage: Bacteria; Bacillati; Actinomycetota; Actinomycetes. The record is from RNAcentral.